GGGCUGAAGCAGGGGAGGAGUUCUCGUUGUCCUGCAGGACCCGCCGGGCCACGGUCAGGUAGGAAGGGGCACUGCCCAUCCCCCCAGGACUCGGGGGCUGACCCGGAGCAGGGCGGCGGAAGUCGUCCAGGGCCCAGAUGGCCCCAGAAGGUGGCGUGGAACAGAGGAAGGCAAACCCUGUUGGGAGCGGAGACGAACUCAGAUUCCGGCUCUGGUAGAAUCUGUGUGGUUUUGUCGGCGGGCGCAGGCCUACAGAAAGCCCUAGAACUUCCUUCCAGGCGGGCGUCUCUUGUUAUUCCUAACAAGCCCCCUUGACCACAGUCCCCUGGUGACUCAGGCGCCUUGGGAUAGUUUCUAGGGAGGGGCUGACCGCGCACCGAUUACAGGCUGGAAACCCACGCCACCCUCCGGGGCAAGGGGGGCGGUAAGCCAGGGGCGGUUCCGGGUUUCCGGUGGACGGAGUGCUUCGAGGGCAACAUCCUGACCGGCAGAGGCAGGUUUUUUUCUGUGCAUCUAUGCACAAGCACCCAAACGGAGGCCCAACGAGUCACACAAGAUCUGUGGCGGUCUGUUUUUUCAUUUCUCAUUAAGAGCACAGACAUCACAUCAGUAAACCUCCGCCAACACCACGGCCUACAAGGACCUCAGGGUCCCCUGGCAAGGCUGUUCUGGGCAUGGAGACCCGCGGUCCCUCUGGGAGAUGGCACACGAGCCAGCGGACAGUGCGACCACCAGUGCGCUCCUGGACUGGCGCUUUCCAGGUUCCUUCCUGCGGACCGAACGCCUCACCACACAGUGUCUGAACUGACGGGGACUACUGCCCCUGGCUAACCGACCUUCCAUUUUAAUGGUGCUUCAAAACAAAGGAAUAAACAGGAAAAGAACAUAAAGCAAUAAAAGCCGUGUUUUCCAGAGCCUCCCGCGGGUCCACUUACAGAAGGAGCGGUGGGGCGGGCCGUGCCUCCAGGGGCCGCAGCCGCACACGCUAGGGUCAAAGCGCCCGGACAGGCUGCACAUGAUUCAUGAGGUAAGUGCUGUCAGCAUCCAACCGCUCCCGCACCUUA
Molecule: long non-coding RNA, 1064 nt
Organism: Mustela erminea (ermine)
Lineage: Eukaryota; Metazoa; Chordata; Mammalia; Carnivora; Mustelidae
Exons: 4
Source: RefSeq, a predicted model, not a curated record